UGGAACUGCAGUCUGUCAGAGAUCAGCUGUUCUUCUCUGGCUUCAGCUCUGAAGUCAAACCCCUCUCAUCUGAGAGAACUGGAUCUGAGUGACAACGACCUGCAGGACUCAGGAGUGAAGGAGCUGCUUGAUCUACAGCAGAGUCCAACCUGUCGACUGGAGAUUCUGAGGUGGGAGACUUAGUGGAGCUAAGUGUGUAGAGGACAGUGUGUGGACGGAGGCUGAGCUGUGUCCUGAGGAUCCAGAGGCUGAAGCAGCAGCAGCUUGUGUGUAGUCUCCAAUCUACACAACCCCUAAUCUGCAUGUGUUUGUGAGAUGAAGAAAACACCUGGCGAAAACAUGGGGAGAACAUGCAGACUCUGACAGAAUCAGAAUUCUUGUAUUUGCAAAGUAUGUUUGCACAUACAGGAAAUUGCCUUGGUGUCAUUGGUUCACUGAACAUAAAACAACAAUAUAAAAACAACAAUAUAGAACAAAAUAGAAUAAAAUGGAAUAAAAUAUAUACAGUAACAGAGUUACAGACUCCACACAGGAAGACCCAUCUGAACCGGAUUCAAACCAGCAACCUUCCUGCCCCGAUUGUGUUUAUUCACAUGAAGAAUGUGUUUAUUGAGAUGACACAACACAAGCAGAAUAUAUAAACCCUCUAUAAAGAGUCACAUACAGUGUGUUUAAGUUUGUCUUUAUUAUUUAUCACCUUUGUACCUCAGUCUGUCUCCAUGUGUGUAGAACCACAUUCUGUGUAUAUGUUUGUUUAUGAUCUUAAAGUUCCUGGAUUCACGUCACAAAUUGAUUUAGUUCAACACAAAGUUCAACACAUUGAAAUCACUUUGAGUUUAAAAUCAGAGUUUUGUCUUUGACACAAAAGAUCAAAACUCUGGACUUAAAAAUGGGACGUUUUCAUUUCUGCAUCAGGUGCAGAGCGGUGGUGGCUUUUCUACUUUUGACCAACAGGUGGCGCUGCAGUAUAACAGUAGCACAUCCCAGUCAAAGACUUUAUAUUCAGUCUAUGAGUCAAACACAUGGAUCAUUUCCUCUGUGACAAACCAGAUGUAACGAGAAGAAAAACAUCUCAGAGAGAAAAGUUCUGUUUCUACUUGUCUCUGCUUUAAUGCUCAAUAAACAUCCUUCCACCGA
Molecule: long non-coding RNA, 1137 nt
Organism: Limanda limanda (common dab)
Lineage: Eukaryota; Metazoa; Chordata; Actinopteri; Pleuronectiformes; Pleuronectidae
Exons: 2
Source: RefSeq, a predicted model, not a curated record